RNAcentral lists this long non-coding RNA (591 nucleotides) under Marmota monax (woodchuck). The record is from RNAcentral. Lineage: Eukaryota; Metazoa; Chordata; Mammalia; Rodentia; Sciuridae.
CAAGGGGCCUGCAAGAGGAAGGUGAAGGAACAACCAUGAUCCCGCCAACCCAGAAACUUCCAGCCCCUUGGGCCACUCCAGGGCACAGGCAGGGACCAGGCUGGGGCUGGAGGAGCCAGGCUGGCCGCACUGGGUCCCACCGGAGACUUCUUUUCCUUCCCAAAGAAGAGGAAACCUCCCAGGGCCAUCUUUGAGUAUCCCUGCCCUCCUUCCUCACACCUUGGUUCUCCAUCUCACCUUUUGGGGACAAAGGAACCAACCAUUGCAGGUCCUUCCCACUGUCACUUGGGCCUGUCCAGAACCAGCAGGAAGGUAGGGCCCUGCUGGCCCAUCUGGCCCACAGAGGGGAGGCAGGUCAGCCACCCCAGCAGCCCACCCUCCUUGCCCCUGAGAUGCCCCCUCCUCCGCAGCCCUCCACCUGCAGCUCCUAGUGGCCAAGGGGACUUAGCAGGCAGCCUGCGGACUCCCCCUUGCUCCUUGGCCCCCAUGCCUGGCCCAUCCUGGGUACAAGGGCAGACUUGGUUGCCUCCAUUAUAGAUUAUAGCACAAAAACACAAUAAAAUAAAAUGAAUGUUUUCUCAGCGAAAAUCC